RNAcentral lists this long non-coding RNA (3082 nucleotides) under Homo sapiens (human). RNAcentral's name for it is "HSALNT0356963". The record is from RNAcentral. Lineage: Eukaryota; Metazoa; Chordata; Mammalia; Primates; Hominidae.
GGGCUCCCAAGCUCCGCGCAGACCCUUGGGCCAGCCUUGGCCGCUACCCGAGCGCCUCUCCACCAGACCUUGGAGGGAAGUUGGGGGAAGGGCGGGAGAGCACCGGCGCCCAGGGCGCAGGGGCCAGAGCGAGCCUGGCGUUCCGCCGCAGCCGGCUGAGACUCGGCGACGCGGGGGCUGUACCUGUGGCUGCGGGGCCGACGGCCGGCUGCAGGGCGGCUGGCUCUCCCGCCUCGAGACUAGGCGCACUCCCAUCCCCGCCGCAUGUUCUCCACGCGGGCUCCAGCGCGCUCACCACCGCCACCGCCGUCGUCUCGGCUUUAUUUACCCAGCCCGGCGCGCGCCGCCCGGGAACAGGAAUAGCGAGGCCUUCUCAUGUUUCCUGACUGCCGGUCCCAGCCGGCGAACAUCCUGCGGGCGCGGUAUCCACGUUCCCGGGCGGGUGGAGAGGAAGCGUCCGCGCCCGCCCGGCCGCGGGGGCUGCUGUUAACCCCUAGCAGAGGAGCCGCUGCCGGGGAGCCCCGGGCCCGCCGAGUCCUCCGGAGCCGGGCGCGGCUCCCAGAUCCGCCGGCCUUGCAGUCGUGGAGCAGACGGGGCUUUUCCCUUCGCACUUUAGGAGAGAAAUUGGAGAAGCUGCCGGGAGCGCUCGGCUCCGGCUCCAGAAGCUGAGAGGCUGCGGUGCAAAUCCCGUGUCUUAGCUGGCCCGAUUGCCGGAAAUUUCACUGCGCGUGGCUAGGCGGGAGAGGCCACUGUGACGCGCCCUGUAUUUUCCUCUCGAUUAGCUGGAGGGAAGUUAGAGCUCCGUUUUGCACCUACAGCCCUGGAGCGUAUUGCGGGAAGUGCUAGUGCCCAGGAGCCUCUUUUCUGAUGUCACUGGGCUUCUGGGGUCCUAGUUGUCUCAGUCAAAGCCAGGCACACAUUCACCUCCGGGGCAAGGGCUGGUGAGGCUGCCCUCGCCGCUGGGUAUAGGGAUGGGGGAAAGCAAGGAUGGGAUGAGUUCAGCCCAGGUGGCCAACCCGCGGUGGCCCAAGUGCAGAAGAGGAAGCGCGCCCAAAGCCAAGGAUCUGCACGCAGCAAAGGAGAUGGAACUUAGAAGAAUCACAAGCUGGGACACAGGGCAAAGAGAGAGAAUGGCUACCAGAUUCUCUGAUUGAUGAUACUUUGCUUCCUAACAUUACCGCAAAUAUAAGUAGCGAAAGCGGCGGUUUAGGUGCAACUGCAAGCUCAGAGCUUCUGGCAGCCCAGAAGAUCCCCAAGGUGCCAACACGAAGCUGCCUGCGCUCUCGCCGAAGGCCCUGUGGUCCUAGCGAACUUUCGCCCUUUUUAAAGAACAAACUUAGAUUUCCCCCCACCAAGCUUAAAGAAAUAGCGCCAUUUGUCCUUUUCCCCUCUAAAUGCGGCUGGCCAGAGCCGGGGCAGUGGCCCACCUUAGCAUCUUCUUCGUGUGUGUGUGUGUGUGUGCGCGUGUGUGUGUGUGUGUUUGUGUGUUGGGGGGGUCGCUAGAAGUGCUUAAAAUAUAUACCAAAACUAUUAUUUUAAAGACUAAUCACACCCUCAAAUUUCAUAUGUGUCACCUCCCAAAUUACGCGAUAGCAAACCGUUGUGCAGGGGUACAAUGUAAACCAUAAAGGAAGGCCGGUUUACAUUUUUGCGCACCAGGAAGAUACAAAGUAUCAUUGGAGCACGUUCUGAUGUCCUCGGUUCUCUUUUGUUAUAUAACUUGCUGUUGCAGCGCUUGCAUCUUGUCUUUGGCGCUGCCCUUGUGGUGUGAGUUCAGUACAGGCUUCUGGUCUACAGACCUCGCUGUAGGAGCUUAAAGACAGGGGUAAAUCCUAAGGUUUCAGCCAUCAAUUUUCAGCUAACAAAUUUCACCACAGAAGCAGAUCUAAUUGAUAAUUCAUAGGACAAAAGAGCCACCUUCUCUUUUAUGGUCUCUAUCAGUGGUGUUAGUCACCGGGAAUUGUAAUGAAAUUAGCUCUAACAUACCCCUGAAACAUUUUUUGGUCAGCUGUCCCAGGUAAAGCAAUAGGCAUCAUACAGUUACUUGCAAUUUCCCAGUAUUCUACUAACUUUUUGAGCUAUAUGCUAUAGUACAUGUUAGUAUAGGACAAAUGAAUUUUGUUGUUUUAGUACUUAACUAUAUUUACUCAAUUUAAAAAUGCAUUUAGAGCGCUUUUAAGAUAUACUUACAUGUAAUAUUUGUUUUCUUAAAGUCUGAAAUGAAAUAUACAGCAAAAAUCUUAAUGCAAAAAUACUUUUCAUUUGAUAUAGGAAUAAAAUACAUUUGAGUAAGCCUCAACUCACUAAAAAAUUAACAUAUGGUAAUUCCCUUAGACUAUGAUUUAAUAAUUAAAAUCCAUUUAAAAAUGAAAGAAGAGUGAAGGAUCCAUUCUAGAAGUGAAAUGGUGUGAAAUAUCCCUCUGUAAUAUACCAAUGGGCAUUUAUUUUAUUUUUGCAAGUUUUAUCCUCUAUGCAAAAGGGAAGUGUUGUCUUCAUUUUAAUCCACACUUCAAAUACAUUCAUUAUUAAAUUACACCUAUUUCUAAAAUAAAUGUUACUCAGCCUCUUGUGCUAUAUCCAAUGUCAGUAUAUGAAAUGCUAUAUAUAAUCCUCAGAAGUAAAGCUUCCAGUUUCAGAAAGUUUUAGAAGAUUUAAGAAAGCAUAUGUAGUUUGUGGAAGAUGGCCUUAUGCAGGGGGAAAAAAAACCCAAAACACCCAACAACUUAGACCAGAAGUCAGAAGACUUGAGCCCUAAUCUUAAUUCUGGUUAAUUUGAUGAUGGUUUAGCCUGAAUUUAGUAAAGUGUAAAAUGACGGUAAUAAGUUUUCCACAAACUGCCUUACACUAUUAUGAAGGGUUUCUUUUUUUUAAUGUGAAAGUAAGAUACUGCUUUGCUAAAGCUAGAAAGAUGUUAAGUAAGAACAUUUGAAAGAAAUAUUAAUUCAUUGUAUUGGACUCUGCAGUUAUAAAUAUAUGUAAUUAUUACUUUCUGGUAAAGAAAAAAAUAAGUCUUCAGUUUUAGCAUUUUGAUAUUUUACCAAAUUACCCUGACAUUUCAGAAUAAAUAUUAGUCAAAAUGUUU